AGAGGAUGCCUUACUUAAUAAGAAUCCACUUCCCCCCAAGCGAAAUAGUUGCACAAAUGAGAAUAAAUCGCCUUCAAAGUUCACGCUCCCUCGUGCUUUCAAAUUCACGAGCGGUCAUUGUUUUCGUUGCCAGUACGCAUGCGUGUGACGAAACAACACUAAAUGCGCAUGCGCAGAUAAGCUAAGACAGAAAUUCAACAUGGCUGAUGCAAAUGAGAUCUCUCAUGCUCGAAUUAGUUCAUGUUUUAUGCAUUUUGAAGGGGUGACCGAGCAACUUUGCCAAGUCUCUCGUCAAAGGCUAAAGAAAUUUAUUGAAUGUAGACAUAAAUGGGCUAAACUUGAUUGUGUACAAGCUGAUAUAGCGAAGAGUUUGUAUAAUAAGUUCGAUGACGACUUCAUGAAUACGUAUUUGGCCGAGAACACCGAAAGCAGCUUUGCUGUCAAAUGGUACCACCAUAUGAGAUGUUACAAGAAAUUUUGCGACGAAGAGAAGAUCCGAAGACAAGAGAGAAGUGAGGAAAAGCGAGCAAAACAAAUUACAGAAACUGUUCCUAUUACUGAAGACUCAUCCAUGGAACCAAUCGAAGAGCCAAGUAGAAAGGUUACGCGUAGUUCUCAAAUAUGUAGUUCAGUUGCUGCCCAAAGUAAGACCUUGCCUCGAAGAAAUCAGUAUGUACUGCCAGAGUGUUGCAUUAUUUGUGGAAGAGAUGCUUCUUGGUUUAGAACAGACAAGGUAUGACCACUUCUUCAUGUUUUCAAUUGAUAAAAAAAAAUCAUACUAUAAAAUGCUGUGCACAUGAUGUAUUAAACUGAGAUCGGUAUUUGACUAUUUUUAAAGUAUGGAAAUUAAGCUAUUGCAGCUAGUUUGUCUAAUACAAAGUAUACAUGUUUAAGCUAUUAUAUCAAGAACCUAUCGCUAUGGGGAACAUGAGAACAUUGGUGAUUGGUUUGUUUAUUUCUUGCUAGUAUAUCAUUAAUAUAAGUAUAAAAUGACAAACAGGCAUUCAAAAUAUUUGCACUUUGUUGUAGAAAACAAAAAAGAGAACAAGAACACCACUUGUAUUGGCAGCAACAAUCGAUGCUGGACUCUUGCGUACUGCUGCUGAGAAGAAAAAUGAUGAGGAGAUACUAAUGCAUAUUAGAGACAAAGACUGUGUUGCAUUGGAGGUCCGCUAUCAUGGAAUUUGCUAUAAUAACUACACCAAAUUCAUAACAAAGCCAGUAAAAGAGACAAACACAUGUGCACCAAUCUAUGAAAAGUCAUACAAAGUAUUCUGCAAAGAUGUCAUUGAGUUGGAAAUCAUCAAAGGAAAAGCAAUAAAGUAUAUGAAGGAGUUACUGAGUAAAUUUAUUGUCAUUGUGAAGGAAACUGAAAAUGUUGAUGCAUCUAAAUACAGGGCUUUCAGCCUCAAGCAACGACUAAUCAAUAGUUACCCUCAACUUGUUUUCUUGAUGCAAAAGUAUAGAACUGUUGGCGAGAUUGUUUAUGCUGAGAACUUGCGUCCAUCUGAUUUUGUUGGGGAACAUAUGUUAAAUAAAUCUAUACAUGAUGAUGAAGACUUUGAUACUAGUUAGUUUUUUGUUACUAGGUACUAGUUUCUUUUAUCUUCAUUAUCGAGACAUCUGUCUUUAUACAUGUAGAUAGGUAAAUCAAUUGAUCUAUGUACAUGUAUAAAGGCAGAUGUCUCGAUAUUGAAGAUAUUAUAGUACCUGUUUCGAAAUAUCAAACACAAACCACCUUUCGACUAACUAGUUCCCAACUUGACCUGUACCUCAGUUGGUAGAUCAUCAAACUGGCAACCGAAUGUCGCGGGUUCGAUUCCCAGCCAGCCCAAGUAAAGCUUGGAAAGCACUAAUGGCCAUACAGUGAAUCACCUUUAGUCUGAUACACCUGCCCUACUCUAAUACUAAUUCCAACCCUAACCCUAAAAAGGUUAUUCACUGUAUGGCUAUCAGUGUUUUACGUAGAGCUUAUCUCUACUUGUCGAGUAGGGGGGGGGGACUUUAAUGGGUUAGAAAUGGCUGGGAUGGUGUGAAACAUUGAGCAAUUUCACAUCCAUGAAAUGUCCCAAGUUGUCACCAUUUCUAACCACACCCUUUUUUCCGAAUGGAAAAGCGAUGAAGGCGAGUGUUUGGCGCCUUAAAACCAAAUUGCUCGACAGUCUUCCCAUUGUAAGGGAAGUAUGGUAAGGCUGUCCAUGUUCCGAAUCAGUUUGUCAUGACUUGUGGUAUUAUCUGUUUUCUAGACAUGCUGAUGAGCCCUGAUAUGGGGCGAAACAGUCAUUUUAACAUCUCGGCAUAUAAAAGCAUAAUAAUAUAAUCUCAUAGUCAUACAUCGUGUUAAGCUGGGUUUUUUCAAACUUUCCCUUUUUUAUGAGUAUGGUUGUCUUGGAAGUAAGAAGUCUCCAUGGUGGAUAGUGGACUGGCGAAAAGGCGUUCCUGAUACUUGGUAAACUAAAGAUGAAUCUGCAUGGAGAAAUGCGCGUUACAGUUUUCAUGAUAAGCAACACAUCACAAAGUUCUAGUCAGCGCGGUUUAAUUACUUUAAUAUAUUGUUUUGUUUUCUCAAGACCUUUUAACAGUUUUGUGAUAUGAUUAAUUGUAAGAAGUUGACAAAGUAAAAAAGUAAUUGUAAAAAUAAUUGUAAAAAGUAAUUGGACAUUAUUAACAGUUUUCUGAGCAUUUUAUUAUUUUUGGUAGUUGUGUAUACUUGUUUUAAAAUAUGAUUGCGAGCAUCGUGUAGUGUAUAUAUCAUCCUAUAUCUUAUUACAUUAUUCUUGAAAUGUUAGUCUUUGAUUUGUAAUAUAAUGUUCUCGGGAGGGUAUACACUAUAUAACUCUAAAUAGCUCUAAAUAUUUGUGUAUCAUUCAAAUGUACAAACCAUGAAGACCUGCUAUUUUUCAAAACGCUGCCGAUUUCACCUUUUCUUAUUUAGG
Molecule: long non-coding RNA, 2936 nt
Filed under: Paramuricea clavata
Lineage: Eukaryota; Metazoa; Cnidaria; Anthozoa; Malacalcyonacea; Plexauridae
Source: RNAcentral